UUCCCCUGUCACCGGUCGGCGCAUUUGCAUGUGUGUGUCUGUGCGCGUGUGAACGUGUGUGCGUGCCCGGAGCUCAUCAGCAUGUUUAAGUUCACAUCUGAUGUCACCGUGCUUCCCCUCGGCGAAAAGGGAUGAUUGUGGUUUAUCACUGAGUCACUUCAUCACUGUGGUUUCCCUCUCUAUCAGAUACAACCGCGCGUGUGUGUGUGUGUGUGUGUGUGUGUGUGUGUGUGAAAGGGACGGCGAGAACAAUAAGAAGACGAUGACCAGAGGAGUGAGGGCCUUCUCGGGGGCAGACGGAUGCGAGGCGGCUUGUCCUAAACGUUGGGACACGGCGCUCGACCCCCCGCAGCCUCGCCUCUCACUCGCUUUCACUUUGUUCCUCCAGAGGCUUUUUUUGUUGUUGUUGUUGUUGUUUUUGUUGUCUUUUUUUCAGUUCUUGUACCCACACACCGAAUAACACAAAGCACAAAGAAACCCUCGUUUAGUUAACCUUUGUCAGAGUUUUGAUGUUUUUGACACACUGUAAAACGCCCAUGUGGCUUUUUUUUUGGGGGGGGGGGGAAUUCUGCCUUUGAAUUUCCUGCUCUUUUGUUCGGAACCCCUCAACCACCAGCAGCUGAUUGUCAGCUCGUGCAGAGAUCACAGUGACUGUGACGGUGUAUUAACAAGAGAAAAAGAGCGAGAAAUGUGUGUGUCGAUAUAGAGAGAGAAAUCUGCCGAAUGCACCGGCGCAGCCCACAAGCCCCAGAAACCUCUCCUGUUGCUCUGGUAACAACAAGGACGGAUUCAGACCCAUUUUCUCCCCCCCCUCCCCUCCCCUCUCUCUCUCUUCCAGGUGUUUUGUGUGACCGUCUUGCAAAGGCAGGACGGGGAUCUCUGCUCUUUCGUUCAGUCAAGGUGUUCUGUGGGAGCCGCAAGACGUGAUGCUCGAAUCCUGUGGAAAAAGAGGUGUUUCUUUAAAAAAAAGAAGAAAAAAAAAAUGUCAACGGCUGAAAAGCACAAAGAGCAAAACAGACGCGGCCUUGGGAACCGAGAGGAAAAAAUAUAGUUUUUUUUAAAAAUGAAGUGAGAGGCGGUAAGACAGUUAGAAAAAAAAAAAAGAAAAGAAAAGUGAGAGCGAGAAAGAAAGAAGUGCAUUUCCCCGACAUGAGUCACUUCUGAGUGAAAGCUUUGUAAUUUAAGCCGCACGCAGCGAAAGAAAGAACGAAAGAGGGACAGAUGCAGCGGCACCGACGUGGAGAGACGUGGACAUUUACCCAACGCCGACAACAGCAGCACCGUGCGUUCCUGACGUUACAAAACCAUCUGGGUUAAUUCCAAUUUAAAACAGUGCCACAGAACAGGUGGACUCCACAUUAACUGCACGUUGGCGUUCCUCUAAAGUGGAUGUGGUCCACGGUGUCUCUCACACUUCAACCACCACAUCCUCCCGUGGAGCUUCAUUUAUGCACAUUGAAAAGACAAGCGGACGCCGACAGGACGCAGUUUGUCAUUUCGGAUCAUGGUUGUAAUUGUUAUGUAAUUGUUAUAAUGUUUAAUGCGAAAAAGUUCCAGCGAGUGUCCCCGAAUGUCUUCGGGCAGGACUUAGUCAAGUAUCAAGUAUCAAGAGUCAAAUAUUGACAGUGGGACCAUUUUCGACAAGGAAGUAAUAUCUCGUAUGGAAAGUUUCCGUCGAGGGCUUUCUAGAUAAAUAGAAACCAAUGCGUGUCAAUGCGACGAUAACUGGCGUAAUCAACUGAAUCAACGGGUUUAACAGUGGAGGCGUGUCUGCAGACAAUAAUACAGAUAAGCUCAAUAAUACAGAUAAGCCUUAAUUGUUUGUUUUUGUACUCAACACGGCAAAAUUGAUUCUGCUUUAAUGUCAGUUCUUGUAUUUAUUGUAUCUUUGUUGAUGAGUUUGCCAGAAGUUUUAUACCUGAUAACCGUUCCGAUGUCUCCGUACUGGAUGCAAAUACCACUUUAUAUAUUAAAUACACAAAAAUACAAAAUACUAUUUGAAGGAUGCUGCGUCACCAGGAACAAACAUGGAAAACAUGUGUGUUUUUUUCACCAUGAACUGCCUCAAAUCUACUCUGAGCGCCUGUUCUAAUUUAUUCUGGUCUGGAUGGCAACAGUGCUCCAACCACACACACACACACACACACACACACACACACACACCAGCACACGUGCACAAAUCUGCACGUGUUCCCAAAUGUCCACUUGACAGCUGGUGUUUGCAAAGAAAAAAGAGAAAGAAAAGGUCAGUUGGCCUUUUGUGUUUUUUUUUUCUUCAUCUUUAGAAACAAAAACAGAGACACAUGUUGUGAGUCAGCACAGUGUGUCACGACAACCCGUCAGAGCCGACCGCGUCCUAGUUCGAGGGCGAUGUGGACCGGCGCGGUGCCGCCUACUGCCGGGGCAUCGCCGCGUACGUCUGUGAGGACACAAAGGGCUCGUUGUAACCACAUCGCAACAAUUCUUAAUGAAAAUAGAGUCAUGAAUAUAUCGUCAGAAAUGUGCGGCGGUGACGGUCAAGAGUAACAAUUGUUCUGCAGAACCAAUGAAGAACCUUUUGCAUUACAUUUCAAUGCAAACAUAAGGCCCCAUUCCUUCUUCCAGGACUCAUAACGAGGUAUUUCAUCGCUGCAGGCUUCUGUAAAUCUGUACGCACGUGUGCAGCAGGCUCGUACUUUCACACAGGUUCUGUUAUGCAAAGCACGUCAACCGACAGAGCAAACAGCGACACUGAGGGGUAAAAUAGAUCCUCUUACUUUUCCCUAAAACUCAAACUGUGAAAUAGAAACCAAUGCCUCACGGGUAUAGCAAGUGAUGCUCUAAGGAGGUAGAAUGUUAAACCUGAAUUCACUGAUUUCCUGCAAAAGUUCUAUUCAAAGUGGGGGGGGGGGUUCCCCACUGACGAUCCUAUUCAGAUUCCAUUUCUGACCCCG
Gasterosteus aculeatus aculeatus (three-spined stickleback) is the source of this 2933-nucleotide long non-coding RNA. NCBI's taxonomy places the organism in Eukaryota, Metazoa, Chordata, Actinopteri, Perciformes, Gasterosteidae. The record is from Ensembl.